This 1916-nucleotide long non-coding RNA is filed under the name Homo sapiens (human). Its description in RNAcentral is "HSALNT0313973". The stretch from base 1378 to 1542 matches the Rfam family "Non-coding RNA LOC285194". The record is from RNAcentral. Lineage: Eukaryota; Metazoa; Chordata; Mammalia; Primates; Hominidae.
GGGUACCAAAGUCCACUCUGAGCUUUUCCUCUGGGAACAGAUCCCAGAUUAUUCCAGACUUAAGACAUGGAGAUAUAUCUUGCUAGAGGUAGGAAGAUGAUAAGAUCAGUUUCUAUAGGUAGAGGAUAAUGUGUCCUAAAAUGUAGGUAGAGAUAAGUCUGACAGUGGUUUAGACAAAAAGGGCCUCUGCUAAUGGUGGAGAGAUCAAGGAAGAAAAGAGCAACGUUAAAGUGAGGCUGUACCCACAGAUCAUGCUCAAGCAAAUUCGAACCUGUAAGAUGAAAGAGGACCUGCCCUCCAUUCUAUCUACUCCCUCUCUGCAAAGGCCAUUUUGAAGAUCUCAGUUUUACUGAAAGGGGUCUGCCACACAUAACUUCCCUGGUGUACCAGCAACAAGUGUUCAGUGGACCAUGGCAACACAAAGAAUGACGGAGGAGAGAAAAUGCCAUGCAGAAGUGAUAGUCAAGAUGAAGAUGUGGGAGAGGAGCAGCCCCCAGUAUAUAUUCAGUGUGUCCUCUGAAGUAACAACCAUCCCAUCUGGCUGAGAAGUGAUGGACACGGCUCCUUAACCACACUGUACCCUCUGUUCUUGGCACCUCUCUACCAGAAAGAUAUCAACAAAUUGGAUGGAAUUCAGAGAACAGUAAGAAAAAUGAUUAAAGAGAUGGAGGCAGUGACUUAUGAGGAAAGAUGAAAAGGACUAAAUCUAUGUAGCUUGGCAAAGCAACAACUGAGGUGGCGUAUGAAAACUGUCUACAAGCAUUUGAAGAAUAUAAACACCAAGGGAAGAGAGGGAACUUUUUAGAAUGGUCUGGGGAAUAAGCAGAGUAAGAGGACAGAAUUGAAGAAAGGAGAGAGAUAUGCUAAGUUGGGGGUGGGGGCGUUUUCUCAUCAAUUGUAAAUUUUGAUAAAUAACAAAAUUAAGUCUGGAGAGAAAGAGUUGCAUCUCAUGCUUUUAGGUUACAAUCAGUGUUGACCUGCACUGAGAAAAUGUGACUUCCUAUUAUCCUUCUCAAAGUUAUUGCUGCAGAGGAAAGAAGCAUACAUCUUUUACCCACCAGGAAACCCCCAAAGCAUCUAUUACCAUAAUAGCCAUGGGAAACAGAAGGCACCUCAAAUAAAGGUGGGGAAAAGAAUGAAAGAAAUGGCUUUGGCCUGUGCCUGUUUGACCUCUGAGAGAUACUUUUUGCAAGAAAUUGUUAAGUUUUGGCCCAAAAAGUGGUCGGUCUUUUAUCCUUCCUUGUGGAGGCCAAACUGCAAACCAGGAUGAAGAAACCAUCAGUGGCAGUUUGGGGAGGUGGAGGAGGGACUAUCUAGACUCAGUGAAUCACCAAGGAAACAUGAGGCCUAUUUCUCUGUGAAGCUGAACUUCAAAAAACAAUCUAAGAGAUACAAAGGGAAAAGUGUGACUGCUCUGACAGCAAAAACAAGCAAAUAUCUCCAGAGGGGAUUAAUCCUUCUGCUUCAAAGUAACUAAAACAAAGAAAGCUGAGCCAGCUUCACUGGAAACAACACCUGUCCAUCAGACAAGGAUGAGCUAAUCAAAAGAAAACACUGCCUAUGUGCACGACUCAGCAGCCUGGACAGCUAAUACCAAGGAACACGUUUUCACUAUAAAGAUUCAGCUUUCAAAAUCCAGUUCCCUCUUGUAGAGCCACAGGGUUAAAAGGGACCUUAGAGAUCAUCUACAUACAGGCCAAACCCUCAAUGAAUGCCAGUGUUCGCCUUAUGUUCUUCUUGCCGGACUCUUUUCUGGCCUCUGUUCUGUCAGGAUGUUUCCUGUUUUGCAAAACAGCUUUAAUCCUUGAGUAUAUUUAAUUGUUAGAAAACAGUUCCUCAAAUUUGACCCCAAAUUUAAGUCUAAUUUAUGAAGAAAGUUUUGCCUUUGGAGACAGGUUUAAUUUUACUUCCAUGUG